CACCAAGUCGACGAUCAGUAGCCGGACUGAGAGGUUGAACGGCCACAUUGGGACUGAGACACGGCCCAGACUCCUACGGGAGGCAGCAGUGGGGGAUAUUGCACAAUGGGGGAAACCCUGAUGCAGCGACGCCGCGUGAGGGAAGACGGCCUUCGGGUUGUAAACCUCUGUCUUAGGGGACGAAGGAAGUGACGGUACCCUGAGAGGAAGCUCCGGCUAACUAC
This 224-nucleotide ribosomal RNA is filed under the name uncultured bacterium. RNAcentral describes it as "partial 16S ribosomal RNA". It matches the Rfam family "Bacterial small subunit ribosomal RNA", at positions 266 to 504 of the family's 1533-position model. The record is from RNAcentral.